RNAcentral lists this ribosomal RNA (553 nucleotides) under uncultured freshwater bacterium. Its description in RNAcentral is "bacterial SSU rRNA". It matches the Rfam family "Bacterial small subunit ribosomal RNA", at positions 8 to 607 of the family's 1533-position model. The record is from RNAcentral.
AGAGUUUGAUCCUGGCUCAGAAUGAACGCUGGCGGCAGGCCUAACACAUGCAAGUCGAACGGGCACUUCGGUGCUAGUGGCGGACGGGUGAGUAACGCGUGGGAACGUGCCCUUUGGUUCGGAAUAGCCCCGGGAAACUGGGAGUAAUACCGGAUACGCCCUUCGGGGGAAAGAUUUAUCGCCAAAGGAUCGGCCCGCGUUGGAUUAGGUAGUUGGUGGGGUAAUGGCCUACCAAGCCGACGAUCCAUAGCUGGUUUGAGAGGAUGAUCAGCCACACUGGGACUGAGACACGGCCCAGACUCCUACGGGAGGCAGCAGUGGGGAAUCUUAGACAAUGGGGGAAACCCUGAUCUAGCCAUGCCGCGUGAUCGAUGAAGGCCUUAGGGUUGUAAAGAUCUUUCAGUUGGGAAGAUAAUGACGGUACCAACAGAAGAAGCCCCGGCUAACUCCGUGCCAGCAGCCGCGGUAAUACGGAGGGGGCUAGCGUUAUUCGGAAUUACUGGGCGUAAAGCGCACGUAGGCGGAUUGGAAAGUCAGAGGUGAAAUCCCAGGG